AUUGAACGCUGGCGGCAUGCCUAACACAUGCAAGUCGAACGGAGAUAGGGGCAACCUUAUUUCAGUGGCGGACGGGUGAGGAAUGCGUCGGAAUCUGCCCUAUGGUGGGGGAUAACACAGGGAAACUUGUGCUAAUACCGCAUAAUGUCGAGAGACCAAAGCAGGGGACCGCAAGGCCUUGCGCGAUAGGAUGAGCCGACGCCCGAUUAGCUUGUUGGUAGGGUAAUGGCCUACCAAGGCGACGAUCGGUAGCUGGUCUGAGAGGAUGAUCAGCCACACUGGGACUGAGACACGGCCCAGACUCCUACGGGAGGCAGCAGUGGGGAAUAUUGGACAAUGGGCGCAAGCCUGAUCCAGCAAUGCCGCGUGUGUGAAGAAGGCCUGCGGGUUGUAAACUGCUUUUGUACGGAACGAAAAGAUCUCUUCUAAUAAAGGGGGUCCAUGACGGUACCGUAAGAAUAAGCACCGGCUAACUACGUGCCAGCAGCCGACGG
Molecule: ribosomal RNA, 494 nt
Filed under: uncultured bacterium
Lineage: Bacteria
Description: bacterial SSU rRNA
Rfam family: Bacterial small subunit ribosomal RNA
Source: RNAcentral